RNAcentral lists this ribosomal RNA (440 nucleotides) under uncultured bacterium. RNAcentral's name for it is "bacterial SSU rRNA". It matches the Rfam family "Bacterial small subunit ribosomal RNA", at positions 338 to 791 of the family's 1533-position model. The record is from RNAcentral.
CCUACGGGAGGCAGCAGUGGGGAAUAUUGCACAAUGGGCGAAAGCCUGAUGCAGCGACGCCGCGUGAGGGAUGACGGCCUUCGGGUUGUAAACCUCUUUCAGCAGGGAAGAAGCGCAAGUGACGGUACCUGCAGAAGAAGCACCGGCUAACUACGUGCCAGCAGCCGCGGUAAUACGUAGGGUGCGAGCGUUGUCCGGAAUUAUUGGGCGUAAAGAGCUCGUAGGCGGCCUGUCGCGUCGGAUGUGAAAGCCCGGGCUCAACCUGGGAAUGGCGAUGAAGACUGCAAGGCUAGAAUCUGGCAGAGGGGGGUAGAAUUCCACGUGUAGCAGUGAAAUGCGUAGAGAUGUGGAGGAACACCGAUGGCGAAGGCAGCCCCCUGGGUCAAGAUUGACGCUCAUGCACGAAAGCGUGGGGAGCAAACAGGAUUAGAUACCCUUGU